RNAcentral lists this ribosomal RNA (450 nucleotides) under uncultured bacterium. RNAcentral's name for it is "partial 16S ribosomal RNA". It matches the Rfam family "Bacterial small subunit ribosomal RNA", at positions 354 to 796 of the family's 1533-position model. The record is from RNAcentral.
GUGGGGAAUUUUGGACAAUGGGCGCAAGCCUGAUCCAGCCAUUCCGCGUGCAGGAUGAAGGCCUUCGGGUUGUAAACUGCUUUUGUACGGAACGAAAAGCCUCUGGUUAAUACCCGGGGGUCAUGACGGUACCGUAAGAAUAAGCACCGGCUAACUACGUGCCAGCAGCCGCGGUAAUACGUAGGGUGCGAGCGUUAAUCGGAAUUACUGGGCGUAAAGCGUGCGCAGGCGGUGAUGUAAGACAGUUGUGAAAACCCCGGGCUCAACCUGGGAACUGCAUCUGUGACUGCAUUGCUGGAGUGCGGCAGAGGGGGAUGGAAUUCCGCGUGUAGCAGUGAAAUGCGUAGAUAUGCGGAGGAACACCGAUGGCGAAGGCAAUCCCCUGGGCCUGCACUGACGCUCAUGCACGAAAGCGUGGGGAGCAAACAGGAUUAGAAACCCUGGUAGUCC